GACGAACGCUGGCGGCGUGCUUAACACAUGCAAGUCGAGCGGAGCGGCGAACGGGUGAGUAACGCGUGAGUAAUUGCCCCCCUCCCUGGGAUAACAGUUGGAAACUGCUGCUAAUACCUGAUAGUGGGGGAUGACUCGCGUCCUAUCAGCUUGUCGGUGGGGUAGUGGCCUACCAAGGCGACGACGGGUAGCCGGCCUGAGAUGGGGACCGGCCACAUUGGGCUGAGAUACGGCCCAGACUGCUACGGGAGGCAGCGGUGGGGAAUAUUGCACAAGGGGGGAAACCCUGAUGCAGCAACGCCGCGUGCGGGAUGAAGGCCUUCGGGUUGUAAACCGCUUUAAGCCAUGAAGCGGUAGUGACAGAAGAAGCACCGGCUAACUACGUGCCAGCCGCCGCGGUAAUUC
RNAcentral lists this ribosomal RNA (405 nucleotides) under uncultured bacterium. Its description in RNAcentral is "partial 16S ribosomal RNA". It matches the Rfam family "Bacterial small subunit ribosomal RNA", at positions 28 to 526 of the family's 1533-position model. The record is from RNAcentral.